Molecule: unclassified non-coding RNA, 226 nt
Filed under: uncultured Gemmatimonadaceae bacterium
Lineage: Bacteria; Pseudomonadati; Gemmatimonadota; Gemmatimonadia; Gemmatimonadales; Gemmatimonadaceae
Description: contains 16S-23S intergenic spacer region
Source: RNAcentral
UCCGGUUUGGCACCGGCAGUCCUCCCAGAGUCCUCGCCAUGACGCGUUAGCAACUGGGAGCGGGGGUUGCGCUCGUUGCGGGACUUAACCCAACAUCUCACGACACGAGCUGACGACAGCCAUGCAGCACCUGUCUUGGGACUCCGAAGAGGGGCCGUGGUUUCUCACGGCUUUCCCCAAGAUGUCAAGCCCAGGUAAGGUGGGGAUGACGUGACACAGACUAUAC